GUGCUUGCUUCGGCAGCACAUAUACUAAAAUUGGAACUACAUAGAAAAGGUUGGCAUGGCCCCUGCACGAGGAUGACUCACACAUUCGUGAAGUGUUCCGAUAAUUU
This is a small nuclear RNA of Suncus etruscus (white-toothed pygmy shrew), 107 nucleotides long. The record is from RefSeq and is a predicted model, not a curated record. NCBI's taxonomy places the organism in Eukaryota, Metazoa, Chordata, Mammalia, Eulipotyphla, Soricidae.